RNAcentral lists this ribosomal RNA (530 nucleotides) under uncultured Bacteroidota bacterium. RNAcentral describes it as "bacterial SSU rRNA". It matches the Rfam family "Bacterial small subunit ribosomal RNA", at positions 9 to 532 of the family's 1533-position model. Lineage: Bacteria; Pseudomonadati; Bacteroidota. The record is from RNAcentral.
GAGUUUGAUCCUGGCUCAGGAUGAACGCUAGCGGCAGGCUUAACACACGCAAGUCGAGGGGUAACAGGGAUUGCUUGCAAUCCGCUGACGACCGGCGCACGGGUGCGUAACGCGUAUGCAACCUACCUUCUACAGGGGGAUAGUCAAUAGAAAUGUUGAAUAAUACCCCAUACGAUCUUUGAAUAGCAUUAUUUAAAGAAGAAAGUUCCGGCGGUAGAAGAUGGGCAUGCGUCCUAUUAGUUAGUUGGAGAGGUAACGGCUCCCCAAGACAUCGAUAGGUAGGGGUCCUGAGAGGGAGACCCCCCACACUGGUACUGAGACACGGACCAGACUCCUACGGGAGGCAGCAGUGAGGAAUAUUGGACAAUGGAGGCAACUCUGAUCCAGCCAUGCCGCGUGCAGGAAGACUGCCCUAUGGGUUGCAAACUGCUUUUAUACAGGAAGAAAUGUACCUACGUGUAGGUAUUUGACGGUACUGUACGAAUAAGGAUCGGCUAACUCCGUGCCAGCAGCCGCGGUAAUAAGGGCGA